AUUGAACGCUGGCGGCAGGCCUAACACAUGCAAGUCGAGCGAGCGGCGGACGGGUGAGUAAUGUCUGGGAAACUGCCUGAUGGGGGGGGAUAACUACUGGAGACGGUAGCUCAUACCGCAUACCAUCAGAUGUGCCCAGAUGGGUUUUGCUAGUAGGUGGGGUAACGGCUCACCUCGGCGACGAUCCCUAGCUGGUCUGAGCGGAUGACCAGCCACACUGGAACUGAGACACGGUCCAGAAUCCUACGGGAGGCAGCAGUGGGGAAUAUUGCACAAUGGGCGCAAGCCUGAUGCAGCCAGGCCGCGUGUGUGAAGAAGGCCUUCGGGUUGUAAAGCACUUUCAGCGGGGAGGCGUUACCCGCAGAAGAAGCACCGGCUAACUCCGUGCCAGCCGCCGCGGUAAUAC
This 406-nucleotide ribosomal RNA is filed under the name uncultured bacterium. RNAcentral's name for it is "partial 16S ribosomal RNA". It matches the Rfam family "Bacterial small subunit ribosomal RNA", at positions 30 to 526 of the family's 1533-position model. The record is from RNAcentral.